UGAGAAGUUGCAACCAUAAGUUGG
This 24-nucleotide non-coding RNA is filed under the name Arabidopsis thaliana (thale cress). Lineage: Eukaryota; Viridiplantae; Streptophyta; Magnoliopsida; Brassicales; Brassicaceae. The record is from RNAcentral.